UGGGGGAAUAUUGCACAAUGGGGGAAACCCUGAUGCAGCGACGCCGCGUGAAGGAAGAAGUAUCUCGGUAUGUAAACUUCUAUCAGCAGGGAAGAUAGUGACGGUACCUGACUAAGAAGCCCCGGCUAACUACGUGCC
RNAcentral lists this ribosomal RNA (138 nucleotides) under uncultured bacterium. Its description in RNAcentral is "partial 16S ribosomal RNA". It matches the Rfam family "Bacterial small subunit ribosomal RNA", at positions 354 to 509 of the family's 1533-position model. The record is from RNAcentral.